GUUUUAUUUAACGCUAUUUGGUAAUAUGUAAACACUUUACAAAUCAUAGUUGAGUUUUUUCUUACCUCGCUUGCAUGCAUGUGCUAUUUUUAGCUCAGAUGCCGUGUGUGUGUCAGUCAAGCUAGCGAUGCUAAGAUCGAAAACUUCAACACGUUUUCUAAUUAUUGCACCCUUGGUAAGCGGAGCGAGGUAUGUCAUUUUGACUCAUCGUAUCAGUAAACAAAAGUUUAGAGAACCCUAAAUGUUGACAUUGGUUGUAAUAUUUGUUCUUUGGGAAACUAAAUAUUUUCACGUGCUUAUGCAGCGGUGCACAUUAGUCAUCUUUUGUGUGUAUUACCAUGCUUUAUUCAGAGCUUACAUUCUGUAUUUAUGUGUAGACAUGUGUGUUACGGUGAUAUAUGUGAGUUUAUUUGCACUUUGUUAAAUGUGAGUGACCAUUAAGCAGCAACUUUGUUCAUUUUUAGUUUUCACGGUGCUUGAAGGAUGCUCAAGUGUUGCUGGACAAACUUCUGUGGAUGACACCACCGUUUGAGACUCUCCUGUGAAUUUUUUACCAAGGGCAGCUACAGUGAAAACUCGACGCUACAUCUGAGCUAUCCACCUGUCUUCUACGAGCAGCUUCAUGUGCCACGGAAGCAAGAUUCUGCAACAUGCUGCGUGGAUGCUACAGCUGCAGUGAGAAACUUUGGCACACUUGUGUAUAAAGCAACGCAGAAAAACACAAGAUAAUAACAUUUACACCUGCUCAUCUAAUUCAGUAAGGCAAUCCAAAGUAAGUUAUAGGAGUAAUGAGUAUCAGGAUUAAAGCCUAAAUAAUUUCAGUCUUGCAAAGUAAUAGUGUAUCUUAGAUCAGCAACAUCCUAUUAGAUCCAAAGGUCUAAGGCCCAAACGUCUGUUAUCUUUAUUUGUGAGCUUACACUGUGUGUGAUUGCUAAUCUUGGGUGUCCAUUAAGUGUAAAUGUCUGAUGUGAGUGAUGUGACAUAGUGUUAACAAUAAGUUAAAACCAUCUCACAACUCCUUUUAGUCCAGACAUAAAACACUCAAGUUUUAUAAUUAACCUCGCAGUGCAGACGUACAAACAAAAUGUUAACGUCUGUGGAAACAGACAAACUCCUGGAAGCGCAACAGGUCAGGUGCAGCUCUCGUGAGCGACGCUUAACAGAGAAGGGUCAGGAGAUGCAUGAACAGGAAGCAAGGAAAACUGAAAAGGCAUUCAAUAAGGCAUAUGACUCUUGGAAGCAAAAGAGAUUAGAGUCAGACUGAAGAGUUAUUGCUCACUAGAAGACCUUGAUAAAAGCCAAAGAGACAUUAAGGCUGGACAUGCCAUUGUACAGAAGCAUUAUGAGACAAUUCUACGUAACCACACCUCUGCUCCAGACAUUGUCAAGAGAAUGGAUGCAUGUGUCACUCUGACAGCUGAGACUUGUAAACUUGUCAGUAAGCGACUAGAGAGUAUAGAUGAAGCCUUCAAUGAUCAACUCGAAAAGGAAAGAGUCAGGAUGGUUUUAAAUAAAGAAGAGUAUGGAUCUGUUUUUGGCAACACAAAUACAGAAACAGUAAUUUCAGAGUCACCACGAGGCUCAGACAGUGACUCAAACAUCACCUCCAGGUCCUCCACCAAACGUGCAGACGCAGAAGCAGACCUUGCAGCCAAAUUAGAACAGGCAAAGGCUGUGUAACAAAUACAAGCAUAACAAGCCAAGUUAAAUAAAAUGGAAAGUGAAUGGAAACUUAAAGAAUCACAAAUGCUAUCUGAAAUUAGGCAAAGGGAGGCAGAAAUGAAAUCAAAACUUGAAGAUGAGCAACUAAGGUUACGACAAAUGCAAGCAGAAAAUGAGGUUAAGGUAGCAGCAGCGAGAGUAAGAGUAUACAACAUUUUUGAUGGUGUUGAGAAUAACGAAGAGGAAUCUGACUACAAAAUACUACCUAGUUGCCAAAAUGUUAAAAUAGAGACCCCACUAAACCCACAAGCUGCAGAAUUUCAGCGUCAUAAUGCAACAUUGGAAGCCCAAUCAACUCAGGAUGCAGUCAGCUUGGCCCAGGCAAUUGCAAGCUCACUCACCUUAAACCGUCUGCCUGUUCCAGAACCCACAGUCUUCACUGGGGACUCUUUAAAGUUUUUAGAUUGGAAGUUAUCCUUCACGACUCUCAUUGACCAGAAGCCUUUGCCAGUUAGUGAAAAAAUGCUUUACUUAAAAAGUUAUCUUGCAGGUGAAGCACAAAAGGCUGUGAAGGGAUUUUUCUACCAAAACACAGAAGAUGCAUAUAAUGGUGCCUGGACAGUCCUGCAAGACAGGUAUGGAAGUCCAUUCAUUAUCCAAAGGGCAUUUAGAGACAAGCUCACAAAGUGGCCCAAAAUAGCGGCAAAUGACCCCCUUGCACUCAGGGAUUUUGCAGACUUCCUCCAAGGCUGUGCUGAGGCUAUACCCCAUGUUAAGGGUCUGGCCAUCCUAAAUGAUUGUGAGGAAAAUCACAAACUCCUCAGAAAACUGCCAGAGUGGUUGGUCUACAGAUGGAGCCGAAUCAUUGUGGAGGAAUUAGACAAACAGGGAGAUUAUCCAAGCUUUGCACGGUUUACAGAGUUCAUGCAGAGAGAAGCACGGAUAGCUUGUAACCCUAUUGCUUCCCCAUUCUUGAUGAACACUAGAACUACAGAUGAGAGAGUUCCAAAGAGAGCCAAAGCACUCAGAACAAGUGUUCAACUGGGAAAUUCCACCUCUAAGUUACCAGGACCCUCAAACUCGAGGUCAAAACCACCCUGCUUAGUCUGCAAGGAUGAAACACGUGGUGUUGCUAAGUGCCCUACAUUUGCAGCAAGGACUACGGAUGAAAAGAGAAUUUUCAUUCACGAAAAUCACCUUUGCUUUGGGUGUUUAAGGAAGGGACACAACACCAAGGACUGUAAAAGGCGACACACCUGCAACACGUGCGGUCGACGUCACCCGACAUGCUUGCACAGAGAAAACAAUGGGUCUGUGGAACUAAUAAGUAGCAGUUCUGUUGUUGCAAGAGAUAAUUCAAGCAAAGAGAUUCACAAGGUUAUGGCCCAUGCAAUCACACAGCACAGUUCUGCCACCUCAAGUAUUGUCCCUGUCUUUGUGUCAUCAGCAGCAGAACCUCAGAGAGAAAUUCUAACUUACGCCCUGCUCGACACACAGAGUGAUUCAACUUUCAUCUUAGAGGAUCUAGUGGAUGAACUGAAUGUAGACACUCAAGCAGUGCAGUUAAGACUUAGCACAAUGACAGCUGCCGACACAGUCAUCACAAGUAAAAUUGCUUGCGGUCUGCAAAUUCGGGGAUUCAACACAGGAACGUCCAUCCAACUACAGCAAGCCUACACGUGAGACUUCAUUCCUGUUGAUAAGUCUCACAUUCCUACAACAAAGACAGCUCUGCAGUGGCCUUACCUCGAACACUUAGCAAAUCAGCUGCCCCCACUUCAAGACUGUGAGGUAGGGUUGCUUAUUGGUUAUAACUGCCCAUCAGCUCUGGCGCCUUUAGAGGUCAUUACAGGUAAUGAAAAUGAACCUUUAGCACAAAGAACUGUACUAGGCUGGAGCAUUAUAGGUUUAACCAAUCCCCACUUAGACAGGCAAGGGCACCAGAGCCUAGUGCACAGAAUUUCAGUGAAGGAAGUUCCACUGCCAUCUGCAACUGAUGUUUUAAAGGUCUUGGAAUCUGACUUUAGUGAAAGGAGUUAUGAGGACAAAUACGUGUCGCAAGAUGAUGUUCGCUUUGUACAACUCCUCAGCAACAGCAUCCUACAAAGAGAAGAUGGACACUAUGAGAUGCCCCUCCCUUUCAAGGGUAGUAGUCCACCUUCGCUACCAAAUAACAAAAGGCUAGCGUUGGUUCGGUUGCAACACCUGAAGAAGAAGUUACAAGCAAACAAGCAGUAUUAUGAUCAUUACACGUCAUUCAUGGAGGAAACGAUAAGCAAAGGUGAUGCAGAGCUGGCCCCUUCAAUAUCAGAGGGAGAGACUCUGUGGUACAUUCCCCACCAUGGAGUGUACCACCCCAGGAAGCCAGACAAAGUAAGAGUUGUUUUUGGCUGCUCAGCAAAGUUCCGUGGUAUCUCCCUAAAUGACUCACUGCUCACAGGCCCAGAUCUGAUCAACUCCUUAGUAGGAGUUCUUUGUCGCUUUAGGAAAGAAACAGUUGCUGUAGUAUGCGACAUUGAAAGGAUGUUUCACCAAUUCUACGUGGCGCCUGAACAUCGAACAACUACUUGAGACUCCUGUGGUGGGAAGAUGGACAGCUGCAAUCAGAGCCAAAAGAGUACAGAAUGGCAGUCCACCUCUUCGGCGCGGCCUCCUCCCCUGGAUGUGCCAACUUUGGCCUUAAGUACCUGGCACGACAACACAAGGAUAACUUUCCUUCAGCCUCAGCCUUUAUUGAGAAGAACUUCUAUGUAGACGAUGGUCUGGUGAGCGUGCAAUCAAUUGAAGAAGCCAAGAAUCUAAUCAUUGAAGCACAGAAGUUAUGCAAAGGUGCAGGUCUGCGUUUGCACAAGUUCAACUCAAACCAGAGGGAUGUUCUGUCCUGUGUAUUCCCUUCAGAAAGGGCCACAACUACGGAACCUCUCAGCAUUAACCCAGAUAUGACACAGAAUGAACGUGUACUUGGCAUACAGUGGUCUAUAGAAGAUGACACAUUUGGCUUCAAUAUUGAUGUGAAGCAUUAUCCACCAACUCGGCGUACUAUCCUGUCAGUCGUGGCCUCUCUUUUUGACCCACUUGGGUUUUUGGCCCCCUUCAUAUUGGGUGGAAAGUGAAUCCUGCAGGAGCUAUGUCGCAGAGGCAACGGAUGGGAUGACCUACUUCCUCAGAACUUGCUGCCACGGUGGGAGGAGUGGAAAUAUGGUCUUCAGAGGUUAAAGGAAGUCACCAUACCCAGAUGUUAUCAUCCUCAAGACUUUGAUAACAUUUUUAGAGUGGAAUUGCAUCACUUCUCAGAUGCCAGCACUGUGGGAUAUGGUGCAUGCUCCUACCUCAGAUAUAAAACUAACAACAACUAAGUCCAUUGUAACCUUGUGAUGGCUAAAGCAAGAGUUGCACCUACCAAGGUCCACAGUAUCCCAAGGCUGGAGCUCUCUGCUGCAGUCACUUCAGCAAAACUAAGUACUGUGCUUAAGACUGAACUUGAAAUGAAAAUUGACAGAGAAUUUUUCUGGACUGACUCCCAAGUAGUGUUGGCAUACAUCAACAAUGAAGCACGAAGAUUUCAUGUGUUCGUAGCCAACCGUGUUCAAGUGAUAAGAGCCAACACAGACCCAAGUCAGUGGCAUUAUGUCGACACUACACAAAACCCAGCUGAUCACACCUCUAGAGGUCUUCAUGCAAAGGACAUCUCUUCAACUAACUGGCCUUUAGGGCCUAGGGUUUUGUGGGAAGAGGAGGUUCUCCCAGCGCCUAAUCCACCAACUGAGUUGCUUGUUGGCGAUCCAGAAGUUAAAUCAGUCCAAGCCUUUGCAACACAGGUGAGCGAGCAAAGAGAUGUUUUGAGUCGGUUUUCCACUUGGACAAGGCUCAUUAAGGUGGUUGCCAGAAUCAAGAGACUAGGGUGCAAGCUGGAACACCAAAGCGAACUUGUGACUGUUGAAGAACGUAAGGAGGCUGCCAAGGUGGUGAUUAAGCUUGUUCAGCUGGACACUUUCUCCCAAGAGCUAAGGCUACUGCGUAAGGGAAAUAGUCUUCCGAGAUCAAGUCCUCUUUUUCUCCUUGACCCUAUUCUAGAUGAUGGACUUAUUCGUGUUGGAGGCAGACUGAAAGUAUCAUCCCUUGAUCUAGAGCUUAAACACCCUGUCGUUCUCCCAAAAGACAGCCAUGUCACAAGGCUGAUCCUAUCUCAUUACCACAACCAGAUUUGUCACCAGGGCCGUAAUCAAACCUUGAUGGAAAUCAGAGCAAAUGGAUUUUGGGUCAUUGGUGGGAGCAAAUCAAUUGCCAAAUACAUACACAAAUGUGUACAGUGCCGAAAGCUUCGACAUUCAACCGAGGAGCAACGUAUGUCAGAACUUCCCAAAGAACGUGUAGAAGUCUUAGCACCCUUCACAUACUGUGGUAUGGAUUGCUUUGACCCAUUUAUCAUCAAGCAGGGCCGUAAAGAGUGCAAGAGGUAUGGUCUCAUCCUCACUUGCUUGUCUUCCCGAGCAGUCCAUAUAGAAAUGCUUGAAGACAUGACCACAGAUGCUCUCAUUAACGCUUCAUCAGUCUCAGAGGAGCGGUUUCUCAAUUACACUGUGACCAGGGCACAAACUUUGUGGGAGCCAAAAACGAGUUCAAAGAAGCACUCAAACAAUGUGACUUCAAGACCCUAGAGGCAUUCCUAGCAGAUAAGCAGUGGGAGUUUGUAUUUAAUGCACCUUCAGCUAGCCAUGCAGGUGGAAUCUGGGAACGACAAAUUCGAACCAGACGCAGUGUGUUAAACCUCACAGCUGCUCAAUGUUCAGGCAGACUGGAUGACGCUUCCUUCAGAACGCUGUUCUAUGAGGCUAUGGCCAUUGUUAAUAGUCACCCACUGGUUGUUAAUGGAAUCGAUGACCCCAGCUCUCCAGAGCCGCUGACGCCAAACCACCUCAUUUUGAUGAAAUCCAAGGUUGCUUUACCACCUCCUGGAAAAUUUGUAAAAGAGGAUAUGUAUGCUGCAAAGAGAUGGCGCAGAGUACAAUAUUUGACUGAACAGUUCUGGAGUAGGUGGAAGAAAGAAUAUCUUCUGAAUGUGUCCACAAGGCAAAAAUGGCAUGUAACCUAAAGUUGUGGGCGUGGCUCAAUUGAAGCAGACUCACCCCAGACCAUGUGUGCCGAGCACGGAGAUUUACGGCAGACUCACUGCCUUCAGGUUUCUUCAAGUUGAAUGUAAGUUUGUAUGUUACUGCAACGUUUAUUAUGAUGUUGUUUUAUUUAACGCUAUUUGGUAAUAUGUAAACACUUUACAAAUCAUAGUUGAGUUUUUUCUUACCUCGCUUGCAUGCAUGUGCUAUUUUUAGCUCAGAUGCCGUGUGUGUGUCAGUCAAGCUAGCGAUGCUAAGAUCGAAGACUUCAACACGUUUUCUAAUUAUUGCACCCUUGGUAAGCGGAGCGAGGUAUGUCAUUUUGACUCAUCGUAUCAGUAAACAAAAGUUUAGAGAACCCUAAAUGUUGACAUUGGUUGUAAUAUUUGUUCUUUGGGAAACUAAAUAUUUUCACGUGCUUAUGCAGCGGUGCACAUUAGUCAUCUUUUGUGUGUAUUACCAUGCUUUAUUCAGAGCUUACAUUCUGUAUUUAUGUGUAGACAUGUGUGUUACGGUGAUAUAUGUGAGUUUAUUUGCACUUUGUUAAAUGUGAGUGACCAUUAAGCAGCAACUUUGUUCAUUUUUAGUUUUCACGGUGCUUGAAGGAUGCUCAAGUGUUGCUGGACAAACUUCUGUGGAUGACACCAGCAAAUAAACUCACCGCACCCGUUUGAGACUCUCCUGUGAAUUUUUUACCAAGGGCAGCUACACUGUCACUCCCGGCCUCUCAUUACGCACACCUGCCUGUCAUUAGUAAUCAGUCACCAGCAUAGAAGCUCCAGUUCUCACCCAAGCCUGUCACCAGAUUGUUAUGCGUGUACUCACCACUUUCCAGCAUUACGCUCUGCCGUGACUAGCUGGUGACAAUCUUGCUUGUUUUUGGACCUGAGCCUGCCUGCCUUAUCUAUACUGUUGCUGAGCCUCCCCGUGUUUGACCCUGCUGAAUUGACCAUGCCUGAGUAAGAAUAAAACCUGUUUUAUUCUACCUGAAUCCUGUCUGGAGCUGUGCAUGUGGGUCCGCCACCUUGAACGCCGCUGAUAAUUUGACUGAUGUAUCGCAACUGUAUCCUUUAAAUUGAAAUCAAAUCAGGACACAGUAACACUGCAGAAGUCUUCUCUUGGGCAGGUGCCGCUGGAAAUACAUUCUGACUAGGUUUGUAUAUUGGCCAUUCUGGCUUCUAAUAUUAUGCUUUUCUAAGUUUGCUUAGAAUGCAAGAAAGCAUGCAGGCUGACAAACACUACAUUAUAUGUACUGUACAUUCUAAAUACAAAAAUAUAUAGAAUGAGAAUGUGAACUUCAUUGGGUACGUUUGUGAAGUCCAAUUCAACCCAGUAUACCCAAUGACUGAUAAACCUCCAGAAGGUAGUUUGGCAGCUGUGGCAGCAUGAACUGCUGGUCUUAUGCUUGUCUAUGAUAAAUAAAGAAAGUACAAUAUUCAACUUUGACAUGAAUUCAAAUUUUACCAUGUUGCAAUUUCUCAACUUUUCAGUUGAGGUUAUAAGGGCCUGUUGUCUGUCUGCCAAACAGUGUGUGAUAUGACACAAUUAGUUCAGAACUGUUCCUAUACUUAGUACUUGACCCUGAUUAUACAGGUCGGACAAUACGUUUUUUAAUAAAGCUCCACCUUUUGGUUUUACCCUGGAAUUGCAUCAUUUGUGCUAAAAAUGGGGGUGGCCACAUUAGCAUGUUUAACACCUACUGCAGACAGCACAAGAGGGGGAGCUGCUGAUAGCCGGCUGGAAAGGCACUGAUAUGAGGAGGGUCAGCGCCUGUAAGUCGACUGGAAGUGGUGCACUAGAUGUAGCAAGAAUUUGUUUUGACUGUGGAUGUUAUUGUAAGUGAAUGAGUGGCUGAGAUGACUUAUUCAGCCCGUUUACGUUUCAAAACUUUGAUUUCCGAUCCAUCCACCUUCACCGGCUUUCUUGUUUCUCUUGCUAUGGGCGGUAAACAGAUUUCAAUGAAAGCACCGCGUUAUAAACCAAUAAACCAAGCAAAAAUAUUUUUUAACAAAAACACACUGAAUUGGAUUUAAAACAGUUUUUUUAACGAAAAACAAAAAAGUCGUUCUCGCGUUACCUCUGCUUUAAAUUUUUAAUCGAAGCUCAUGGGGCACGAGGCAGCAGUCUUAGCAGAGAGCUCCAGACUGUCGCUCGAAUGAAACACAAGAUUGAAUGAUAUGUGAUGUGUUUCGUUCUCUUGACGAUGACUUGGAUCUGAGUCCGACCAAGCUUUUGUUUGUCUCAUAUUUGCUCACAGUCACAAAGGCAAACUUCACAUCCCUCCCCUCCCCCGUAGAGGCGCAUAGACAUGCUAAUGUGUUGCUACUACUCGAUCAGCGGGUGAGAAAUACUUCAGCUCCGGGACAAAGCUUCAUGUGAGACUGGGCAGAAUUGGACGGCAUGAUCAGCUGCAGGUCUAAGACUCAUUAAUGCAGCAAGUAGUUUGUUCUACAUACGUUUACUCUGCAAGAAUAAAGGUAUGUAUUUAUCGUAGAUUUCUGGUCUAAGUUAUUUGUAGCACUUUGACAUUUGUUUAAAAUAUGCAGUGCAUUUUAAAUUGAAAUUACUAUUAUUAUUAUUUGUUACCUUUAUUGAAAACACAGUAUUAAUUGCACAAUUUGGACUGGCGAAGAUUUGCGCUUCUUUCAUAAUAAUCAUGGAUAAUCAAGGAAUAAACUGCAGUUUAUAGAUGUUAUUCACGGACGGUUUGAUAAAGAUUCAGUGUGGGAAAACAUCAACUCUAUUCAGUCGCUCUUCAGGCAUCGACAAGCCUGGACAAUGUUUUAUUGCCUGUAAACGAUCUGAACAGUUUUUAUGGUUUUACAAGGCGUAAUAUGACACUUACGUUUGAUCGUUGCUAGUAUUCCAUAAAAAAAAGAGCGAGGACUGAAUAGGUAUGCUUUCAAUUGCUACGAUCUAAUGUCAAUAAAAUAUAAAAUGUUAAACCUCUGAGCCCUGACUUUUAUGUCUUCUUUGUUCUCAAAUAAUAUAAUAUUGCUGCCCUCCGCGGCUCCCAGUGUUUUUUUAUUUCAUUGAAAACGUGGAUGUUACGGGUGGACCCCUGGUCUAAAUGAUCCUCAAUUUUUUAAAUUGUAGUAGUGUAAGCUUAGUUAGUAUUGCUUUUUGUUUUUUUGUUUUUAUUUAAUGUUUGUGAAACGUGGCAUUUAAGCUACUGUGAUUUUACUUAUAAUUAACAUUAGUUCCCACCUGCCCUUGUUGCCCACGAAGAACCCCGCGCCUCUCUUUGAAUGACAACUGGAACAGUCGCCCCUUCGGUGGGGAGGCGCUCGUUGUAGGUUGAUGGCACAAUCAUGGGUUCGUUGCGGGGGCAGCUGUGUGGCUUUCUUUUUGCUAAAAACCUCCCUCAGGUCCAGGUAGCAAUCAAGCACCCCAGCCACAUUCACCGAAUUCUCCCCGCUCUGUCCAGCAGAGGCCGCCAAAUCCGCGGCUGCGGUCCUGUCAAGACAGUCAGCCUCACACUCCUUUCCCCAACGCUCAAUCUCUCAAUCUCCCCGCUUCUCCAGUUCUUCACGGAUGGUGACAGUCAUGCGCUAUCGGGAACGUGAUAUCUUCUGUGUGCAUGUCGAGAAACCUCAUCCUUACCGGUUCCGUGGGAUGAGUAAUUCUCCACAGCGGCCGCCCAUCAAGUGCUGCAGUCUCCCGUGGUUCUGCCAACGUCAGCUUUCAACUGACAGGCUAGCGUCUGCCUCAGUCGAUCAGCACCGCCUGCUGAAUGGACCGGUCUCCGUGCUGGAGCGUCACCGUCGGCAGCGAACAGGCGCAGUCAUUACACACACACACACACACACACUUAGCUCACCAUUAGCCUCUGGUCUAACGGUGAGCCUGGCCUUUAGCGAACAUUUGGAAGUGAAAUGAUCUGAGUGACCGCAAUAGAGGCACAGCCCGAGGCUGCGACGUCGGUGUUUCUCGGCCGAGGUGAGGUGCGUGCGUCCCAGCUGCAUCGGCUCUUAGUCUGACAGGUGUGCUCCAGGCCACGUGGCGACGAUCACAGCAACCUCUGGUCUCCGCGCAGCUCGCUCCUACCGGCUGAACUCACCCUGACCGCCUGUCCGAGUUCGGAGCUCCUCUGUCUCCGCGCGCUGUUCCUGCUCACAACCAGCGGUCGAUCCGGAUGGCCAAUUCAAUCAGCGCAUCCAGUUCUCGUGUCAGGCCCGAGCCACCGAACAGUCCAUCACCCGGCAAAGCCACGGAUAAACACGUCCCCUAACGCGGUGGCGUCCCAGCCCAUUUCAGGCAAAACCUGACUAGAACAACAAAAUUCAGAAGAAGCAACUUUUCUUUGGAGAUCUGAUCAGCUAUACAUUCAACUCAUCAGGUAGUUUUAGUAAUGUUUCAACUGCUUCAGCUUUUUCUUCAUACACCCCUCACAUCCUGUGGCUCAAUGGUAUAAGUCCUUGACUCGGGAGUAGGAGAUCUAGUUUUGAUUCCCAUUGGAGGCAUGUUUAUGCAUUCAAUUCUUAAUAUAAUUACUUUAAUUUCUGUCAGAUGAAUUGGGUUAUAUUUAAUAUAUGAGCAACUAUCAGCUGUAUUGUAAAAGGGUCAUCUGUGACUAGUCAGUCACACUGUUUUACAUUUCAGCAAUUAACCACACACUUUUCAAAAUAAAAGCACCAAUACAAAUAUUUUCACUAAAUAGCACAUUUUCUGCUUUUGACUGGUUAAUUAUUAUUAGUUAAUGAGACUAUAUUACUGUUUAGCAAUUACCUGCACGUGCGUGCUUCCUCCAAUGCUCCAAAUUUUCCAAAUUUAAAGCUGCAGCUGUACAAGCUGCAAGGUUUAUACAAUACAAGGGUUAUAGAGCAGUCAAAUUGUUAACAUGACCAGAACAAAUUGUUGAUUCAGUAGACACAGCAUACUACUACUACUAAUAAUAUAUGAUAUGGUACGUAAAUAUACUGGAGACUUUCCCUCCUCAUGGACAUUUUAAUGUCCAUUAACCUUGAAAGCGAGAGGCCAAGAAAGCUCCUCUUUAACUCAUCAUACUGCAUUAUAUGAACAUUAAAAUGACAAGUUAAAGAUUCUAAGAAAUAGAACACUUAAGCUCUUCUUUUAGCUCCAAAAGAUGAUCCUCACACGCUGCCUGUAAACAAGUAGAUUCAGUAACAAACCUCACAGUUUUCAUUCCACAUAAGUGUCCAUCAGUCAGUCAUGUCACUGUCAUGAGCUCAGGGUUUUUAUUGUGCACUUGAGCUAAGAGAGAAACCUCUUGCUCUAUGAGAACUAUAAUUUAGAACGGCUAGCCUGUGACCUUGUUCUGCUUAAUGAGUUAGCAGUGUCACUCAGGGCCCAUCAGUGAUCCGGAGUUUGAUCUUCUUUGUCCUCUUCUUUCCUGCAAUGGAACAACACAGCACUCCUGCGUAUAUUAAUCAUCUGUUUCACAUAGAAACUUGGUUAAUGCAUUAACCACUAUUCUGUCAAGCAAAACUUCAUGCAAUGUUAGUUUAUGCGUUCUGCAUAUAUUUUACAAGCAUAAGCUACACACUGAAAUGCAAGGUUCACAGUAUUUUUUCAUCCCUCUAUUGUCAACAUUUAGGUAAAGAAAGCAAAGCUAAAGAUUAAGACUAAAAACCUGAAGAGUUUCUGGGACAUUAGGAACCAAACAGCUCCUUGCAAUGUGUUGUUCCUUGAAUUCACGUCAUGGUUACGGCCAAUAAUGUGUACGGCCAAUAAUAUAAUAUGUAUAAUUUAUCAAUGUGAUAUGUUUAUUAUUUUAUGUUAAUGUUUUUUGUUAUAAAACAAUAGUAAAAAAACAAAACAAAUGGGCCUGUUUUAAUCAGCUCUCUCCUUAUGUCCAAAUAAGGCGUGAAGUCUACAUGUUUACUCAAGAGAAACCAGUCUACGUGGCUAGAAUUGGCAAUGGACCGUGUUAUCCAAGUGUUCCCAGAACACUCUAGAACUCCACCUAACUUCUUUGGCCAUCACCAGGGUCGGCUUGACACUAGCUGCAGAUGAUCUUCCAAGAACCUUUAAAAAACCUCAAAAACAAACUCUUUAACCCCAGUUACUAAGGACACACAUGAACCCAUCCACCCUCUGCAUUUCCCCCAUAAGCAAUGAUCAAAUUUACCACAAACUUUCCCCCUGAAGUUGAAGACAAUUAAGAUGGCUAACAGCUAAAAUAACACUAGACUAGAUAUAAACCCCAUUUAUAUCUAUGCCUGAUCCUUGUACUGCUGGUGCAGCAAGAGUACAUCAUCUUGGGACACACUAGAGACUAUAUCACCAAACCCUAAAUAAAAUGACGAGUGAAAUUAAGGACGAUGUCAGUUAAAAGCUGAACAAGAAGGAUUAGAGUUCAGUAACUACUACGACAAUAACUAACUCAAUUACAAACACAGAAUCACUGUGAUGUAGAAAACGUAUUUAAUUCAGGAAGUGCUGUAGAUGCAUAAAUUAAGUAACCCAUGACGAAAUUAACGUAAAGACUAAAUAGGCUGCAUCCUCACAAACUAUCAGAAAUCACAUUUUUUAAAGCCUGCAGACUGAAAGCAUCUAUGUUAACCAUUUAGCAGAAGGAUGGAAAGAAAAAAUACACUAGGACCUGGUUUAUACAUUUGAUAAAUGUCUCUUUAAGGCUCUGUUGGAAUAGCCAGAGGCCUUUGCCUUUUUGGCUUUUGAUAGCGUCCAUCGACAUAGUUCAUGUCUGACAGCAGAGAUUAUAUACCCCACUUUCGAUCAACUCUGUUUUUGACAGCUCUAGGUCAAAAGUCACUUGAUCUUUUCACCGUUGAACUUGCCAUUUUAGAGUGCACUUGAUCUUUAACCCCGAAUGUUAAAGUGCACUUGAACUUUAAUACCGAAAGUCAAAGUGUACCUGUUCUUUGACCCCGAGAGUCAUAGGUCCGCUGAACUUUAAUCCACCGUGUUAAAGGGCGAUGUGAUCAUCGGAACACCGUUAUGUAUGCAGAUAUAUUAUAUAUAUGAGCCACCGGUGCUUUCUGUGUAUCCUUCUGUAGGCUGUGCUCUCUGUAUCACUGGGGUGUCACAUUCCUCUGCGUGUGUAUCUGAGUUCACAGGCCUGCGGUGGCCUGGUAUCCUUCUACAGUCCUCCUUCCCCCGUCUGGAUUUAUGCGUCAAGUCGGCCCUGCGUUGUUUUAGAAAGAACAGGUUUUGAAACAAAUGCAUAUGCAGUAUUAGAGUGCGCUGCUGGUGUACAACAGCAACAUCCGCCACAUGUAUGCAAUGAAGCACACACACACACACACACACACACACACACACACACACACACACACACACACACACACACGCUGUAAUAGGGGGAAAAAAAUCAUUCUCAUUCAACUCAACUCCACUCAACAAACAAACUCUCACCCCUUUAAGGUUCGGUCGCGCAUUAAGCGCCGACAUUUAAUGUUGUGUUUGACCGACCAAUUGUUUAUGGUCUGCGUCUGCCUUUUACCCCCGGUCUCUGGCUAUUUCCUAUAUGAUCCCUCAACAGACUCAAAGUCAUAAACCUGAUUAGGCCUCAAGUGGGCCUGUGUUGUUUUAGAAAGAACAGAUUUUGAAACAAAUGCAUAUGCAGUAUUAGAGUGCACUGCUGGUGUACAACAACAACAUCUGCAACUUGCAAAGCAUAUACCUUUACAUCGAUGAUAGUCCUCUGUGCUGUUGGUCAGAGGAGUCCUCUCGGUCUGCAGUCAUACGGCAUUUUCGGCACGCACGCACGCACGCACGCACGCACGCACGCACACACACACACACACACACACACACACACACGCGCGCACUGUAAUAGAGGGGAAGAGAUCAUUCAACUCAACUCAACAAACAACCUCUCACCCCCUUAAGGUUCUGUCGCACAUUAAGCGCCUGCAUUUAAUGUUGUGUUUGACUGACCAAUUGUUUAUGGUCCGUGUCUGCCUUUCACCCCCAGUCUCUGGCUCUUUCCUAUAUGAUCCCUCAACCCCUAAAGUCAUAAACUAAUGCAUCACGUCUUUGAAACUCGGUGUCCCAUCCCUUCUGAUAGCAUGGCACCCUCGCAUGUAGGAGUGAGAAUGUAAACAUCUUCACCCCCGAUGCAAUAAGGCGAUUCCAUCAGGCGCCAGGAGAACGGUUAAAAAACACAGCGUUAUAAUACCGAUCGAAACAUGAUUAUACAAAAAUACCGCUUUAACCCGUUACACCGCUGGAGUGUUCGGGGGGAGCCCUCUUUGGAAAUAUUCCCCUUAAGAUUCUGUCGCCCAUUAGGCGCCGACAUUUAAUGUUGUAUUUGAUCGUCCGAUUAUUUAUGGUCCGCGUCUGCUUUUUACCCUAUCUGAUCCCACAACCCCUAAAGUCAUAAAGCUAAUGCAUCACGUCUUUGAAACUCGGUGCCCCAUCCCUUCUGACAGCAUGGCACCCCCGCAUGCAGGAGUGAGAAUGUAAACAUCUUCACCCCCGGUGCAACAAGGCAAUUCCACCAGGCGCCGGGAGAACGGUUAAAAAACACAGCGUUAUAAUACCGAUCGAAACAUGAUUAUACAAAAAUACCGCUUUAACCCGUUACACCGCAGGAGUGUUCGGGGGGAGCCCUCCUUUGAAAUAUUAUGUUGUAACACUAUGUUGAUUUGUUAUGCGAAACAAGAGGUGUGAGGGUGUCCCCAGGGGUCAUUCAAGAGUCACACAUUAGGCAGUACAAUAGGCUAAUCUAUAACAUAAUAUGAUGACGAUGAUACGAAUUACCGUUUUAACAUCGCAGGAUUAUCCUGAGGAAUCCUCAGUAUAAAAAGUGGAGAGGUGUUAAGGAGGGAUAGGGCCUUAGCAGGAGGGGGGUCGGGUGUUGUAAAACCAUUUGAUCAGUUUCUGGGUGACUUUUAUGGAGAAACCUGGUAUAAAUAUAGGCGGAGUUGAAGCGUCAGAAUCAACCCGAACCCAGGCCUUCACGCUAGAUCUUCGUCGGACGUUGAAGCAGCGGUAUGAUUCGAGGUAAAGCUCAGGCGACUCUCAUUUCUUUGAUUCUCCUGAAAAUAUGCGCUAACAAAUUUCGUCCGCGUCAGCUCCUGCAUCUCACGGCGCCCGCGGGGCUCGUCUGCCAGAGAGCGCCAGACUCCGUAAGUAUGACCUCUUUUUGCAAAAUCAACCAUUAUUAGACUGUAGAAUGCUUUGAAACAGUUUUCUUUUUACGGCAGAUCGCCUUGCGCUACAACGUCGUCAGAGCCAACAAUUCCAACUGCAGUAUAGGCACCAGGCGGCUCAACAAGCAUUCAACGCCUUCCCAGCCGGAGAGGCCCUUAGAUUCGUCGAUCAGUUAUUACAUAUUAUAAGCCGAUUGACAUUUGAACGUGCUGACCAUAACGGCUGUUUUAUUUUUUCUGAAAAAAGCCGCCACGGACCGAUCACAGUCUCGACGUAUCAGACGACGCACUUCUGGAGGUGUCACCGGACCCCGGAGAGAUAUUUACUGCCAGCGAGUGUGUCGUCAAUGCGCCGCCACCCACCCCGGAGCCGCCGCAGCAGCCGCAAGAGCAACAGCAACAACAACAACAACAAGAACCGCGGAGCCCCGAAGAGGAGUGUCUAAUCGGCGAGCUGGAGCACGUGCUGUCCAGACAGCCGAGCGUGGAGCCUUCAACUUCCGAGAGCGGGGCCCCUGUGCUUCUAGCGGAGCAGAACGUCCCGGAACAGGGGAGGCGAACCCCCGUGCGUCGUCCGGGGACUCCUCUUCCUAGGGAUCGCUCCAGUCGGCCAUCCUUGCCAUCAUCCUCCUCUCAAUCCUCCGAUUCGGGUCGUCCGAGACGGCGAGAGAGAAGGCUGGGCCUGGGACGAGAAGGCGUCCGCAUCUUCAUCGAGGCGGAGCUGCAUGGGUCCGAACAUUUCCAGCGGAUCUCCCAGUGUUUAUAUCCGCGGGAUCGCUACAAUGAAUGAUUUGCUCCGCACGCUGAUGUGAAAACUGUGCUGGAAUGUCACUUUGAUCGGUUGGAUGAAUUGGUCAAUGAUUUGGUGGGUCGGAACUGUGUCUCCGGUCUACUCCCCGAAUCGCGACUAUGACUUUCCUAGCGGGGGUGAUGAGUAUGUUUCUGAUUUUGAUCGAUUUUGAUCGAUUAGAACAGUCUGUAAACCUCUUCAUUGAAAGACUGCAAAAUCCAUGCCAGAGAAAUAAUGAACUCCCGUCAGAGGAGGGCGCACCCGAGUGCGGAGACAAUGACGAUGCUAUGGAAGGAGCUCCCCCGAGCAGAGACGGAAACCCGGAAGCAUCCCCCGACGGACCCCCGACGCACGACGUGGCGCAGAGGAGAAGCGGGGCCUCCGAUGAAACCAGGAUUGUAACCAGAAACAGUUUCAAUAACUUUGAAAUAAGACGACUGCUUAAUAUCGGGCAGACGGACGAGGUUGAUUACGGACACUUUUACGGGACUGUUAUGGGGAAUGUUGCCAAGAUGGUGCAGCAGGCUUUAAAUCAGACUCAGCAAGGCGACGUUAUCCAGCUCGAGCUCAGGGGGGACAUGCUGCGAUCACAAGCGGUCGCUGUUGUGUCAGUCGCGGACGGCGUGGAUUUUUCCCAAUUUCAGGACCUGCUGGACGGCGCUGUUCAGUCCAAUAUGGAAGUGUUGAUGGACGGCAGCUUGGAGCUGGUGAUUCAGGUGGUGCGCAACCCCCGAGGGGGUGGUAAAAGGCUGUUGGCAAAGACCCUAGACUGCGAAAUUGUUUAAAAGAAGCAGAGGUUCAUGUACAUUGUCAACAAUCGGCAUAUUGAGCUCUGUUUUGCCAUCAACCUGGCGCAUCUGCUCUAUCCAGGAAUCACAGACGCCGAGGCUGAAAGGAGGGGGAGCGAACUUCAGCAAAGGGCCGGUUUAAUCGCGCAGACGCCAGUGUGUUUCACGGACGUGGAGAAGUUUGAAGAGCUUGUUCAGUGUCGGAUUGUAAUCUUUUACAGAACAGAUUUGAAGCGCCUCAACACGUUUCACACUGCAAAGCAGCGGCCUGGUAAACCUUUAUACAUGUUUCUUUUCGAGAAUCAUUAUUACGGUCUAAAGAACGCCUGCGCUUUCAUAGGAACGAAAUAUUUGUGCAGUCAUUGCUACACCGGUUAUGAUGGGUUGCUGAAUCAUAAAUGCGAGGGGCGUUGUAACGUGUGUCUUGAUGCUGCGUGCACGGCCACGCGUCCCGCAGCCGGUGGGGGCGUAGUGUGUGAAUACUGCAACCGCUGGUGUGCCUCGGCCUUUUGUCUCGCAAAACACAGGGAGAAGGUGUGGCGCCCCGUGGCUCAGAAGCACGCUAGCAUUUGUGACAUGCACAAGAAAUGUCACCGCUGCGGCCUCUUGUAUUACGUCUCACUGAUUAAAAUACCAAAGCCGCACGAAUGUCCGGACGUUAAAUGCUGCAUCUGUGGCGGGGUCAAAUAUGCAGGGACGACCGAGCCUCACCGGUGCUACAUACAAAGUCUACCGACUCCUGAAACCACCACAGACGUUAUUCCAAAUAAGAAGUUGUUGUUCUAUGACUUUGAGACGUAUCCUGAUGAGAAUGGCACGCAUGUGCCCUUUUACGUCUGCGUCAUGAGGGGCAAUAAUAGCAGCCCGUGGGGUUGUUACGGGCCCGACUGCGCCGUAAAGCUUCUCAGGCGCUACAGGGCUAAAAAGUACAAAGAUUCCGUGUGUUUGGCUCACAAUUCGAAAGGUUUUGACGGGCAUAUUCUUUUGAGCGCCAUGGUGUCGCUGGGGAUUAGCCCUCACGUUGUAAUGCAGGGGUCUAAACUGGUAUUGUUCACAGAGCCUCAUUAUAAUCUCAAAUUUAUAGAUUCCAUGAGCUUUCUAUCUUUCCUUUGGGCCUCCCUGCCAAAAGCUCUGGGCUUUGAGGAUGCUGAAAAGGGUCACUUCCCUCACAAGUUCAGCUCUAAGGAGAAUCUGAAUUAUGUUGGCCCAUACCCAGCUCCUGAAUAUUACGGUUGUCAGCAAAUGACUCCAAAGAAACGCGAGGAUUUCAUGGCGUGGUACACCCUAGUCUCCGGCGGAACGUUUAAUUUUAAAGCAGAGGCAAAGCGCUACUGCCAAAAUGACAGAGAGAUUCUCAUGAAAGCGUGCUUUGCAUUUAGAGAGUGUUUUGUGAACGAGACGGCUCUAGACCCCUUCAAGCGAGCAACCAUCGCCUCCGCGUGUAUGUUUGUUUUCAGAACAUGUUUCCUUAAAGAAACAGCUGCAAGCGCUUCUCAAACGCCUGUGUGCAGUGGUUAGAAUGGGUGAUGUUCAGAGACGGAGUGUUUAUCCAGCACAGUCUAAACGGAGGUGAACGGAGCUUUGGACGCUUGUGGGUGGACGGCUAUUGUGAGUCAGGCGGGGUGAAGGUCGCGUAUGAAUUUCUGGGCUGCUUCUACCACGGCUGCUUGGAGUGUUUCACAGGCAGCCGCGUUCACGCCUUAACAGGGAAAACUUUUGAAAGAAUGCACGUUGAGACGCAGGAGAGAUUGACAGAGCUGAGGUCAGAGUACGGGCUCCGUGUGAUCACCAUGAAGGAGCACAACUGGGAUCUGCUGAAAAAGUCGCACCAGGGUGUGAAAGCAUUCCUAAAAGCAUACAAGGCCCCUGAGCCUCUAGCCCCACGCGAUGCUCUGUAUGCGGGGCGCACAUGCCCCGUAACGCUGAGAUACUCUGCGGGAGAAGAUGAGGUUGUGAGAUACGUUGAUUUUACAUCCCUGUAUCCUUACGUCAACUACACGUGUCCUUAUUCUCUGGGACACCCGGAGAUCAUAUUCAGAGAUUUCCAGCCCCUGGAAUCUUAUUUCGGGCUCAUUAAGGCGACCUUGUAUCCUCCCCGCGGCCUGUUUUUCCCUGUGCUUCCUUACAGAUCCGGCAAAGGGCGCCUAGUGUUUACUCUAUGCAGAAGUUGUGGUGAGCUGAACCGUCAGGACGGCCCCUGUGACCACAGCGACGCGGAGCGCGCUCUGACAGGAGUCUGGCCUUCCCCCGAGAUUCUGAAGGCUCUGGAGAAGGGUUACAGAGUAGCGGAGGUCAUAGAAGUGUGGCAUUUAAAAGAGCAGAGUACCUCUCUCUUUAAAGAAUACAUCUCAACCUUUCUCAAGGGGAAGCAGGAAGCCAGCGGCUAUCCCGCGGAUGCUACGGAUGUGGAGAAAAAAUACAAAAUACGUCGAUGACUAUGCCAAAAAUCAGGGGAUCGUCCUGGAUCGGGUAAAUAUUGUGUUAAACCCGGCUAAAAGACAAGUAGCAAAAUUAUGCCUAAACAGUUUCUGGGGGAAGCUGAGUCAGAGGUGUAAUUUGGUUCAGACGGAGAUAGUGGAAAGGGCCGAAUAUUUUUUCAGGCUGCUGUUUUCAGGAGACAGGGAGGUAAAGUAUUUCACUUUUCUAAACGACAAGGUGGCGUUGAUUCAACAUUGCAGCAGCGAGCGGGUCGUAGCUCAUCCCAAUCGGUCAGACAACGUAUUUGUCGCCGCUUUGACCACCUGUUAAGCCCGGCUGAAAUUGUACAGCUGCCUGAAGCAGCUUGAGAGACGCAUUCUGUAUUAUGACACAGAUAGCGUAAUCUACUGCUCAAAACCCGGCAAAGCUGAGCUCCCGCUGGGUAAUUACCUGGGCGAUUUGACGGAUGAGCUAAAGUCUGACUCUAUUAAAGAAUUUGUCUCUGCAGGACCUAAAAGCGGGUAUCAGACGCGAGGAGGCAGAGUGACGGUUAAAGUCAAGGGCAUCACACAGACGACAGAGUGUUGUAAGAGCAUCAAUUUUGAC
Molecule: RNA transcript, 20455 nt
Organism: Betta splendens (Siamese fighting fish)
Lineage: Eukaryota; Metazoa; Chordata; Actinopteri; Anabantiformes; Osphronemidae
Exons: 3
Source: RefSeq, a predicted model, not a curated record